CAGCAGCCGCGGUAAUACGUAGGUGGCAAGCGUUGUCCGGAAUUAUUGGGCGUAAAGCGCGCGCAGGCGGAUAGGUCAGUCUGUCUUAAAAGUUCGGGGCUUAACCCCGUGAUGGGAUGGAAACUGCCAAUCUAGAGUAUCGGAGAGGAAAGUGGAAUUCCUAGCGUAGCGGUGAAAUGCGUAGAUAUUAGGAAGAACACCAGUGGCGAAGGCGACUUUCUGGACGAAAACUGACGCUGAGGCGCGAAAGCCAGGGGAGCGAACGGGAUUAGAUACCCGCGUAGUCCCUGUCUCUUAUACA
RNAcentral lists this ribosomal RNA (301 nucleotides) under uncultured bacterium. RNAcentral describes it as "partial 16S ribosomal RNA". It matches the Rfam family "Bacterial small subunit ribosomal RNA", at positions 509 to 809 of the family's 1533-position model. The record is from RNAcentral.